GACGAACGCUGGCGGCGUGCUUAACACAUACAAGUCGAACGGAAAGGCCCUGCUUUUGUGGGGUGCUCGAGUGGCGAACGGGUGAGUAACACGGGAGUAACCUGCCCUUGACUUUGGGAUAACUUCAGGAAACUGGGGCUAAUACCGGAUAGGAGCUCCUGCUGCAUGGUGGGGGUUGGAAAGUUUAGGCGGUUGGGGAUGGACUCGCGGCUUAUCAGCUUGUUGGUGGGGGAGUGGCUUACCAAGGCUUUGACGGGUAGCCGGCCUGAGAGGGUGACCGGCCCCAUUGGGACUGAGAUACGGCCCAGCCUCCUACGGGAGGCAGCAGUGGGGAAUAUUGCACAAUGGGCGGAAGCCUGAUGCAGCAACGCCGCGUGCGGGAUGACGACCUUCGGGUUGUAACCCGUUUUCGCCUGUGACGAAGCGUGAGUGACGGUAAUGGGUAAAGAAGCACCGGCUAACUACGUG
This 468-nucleotide ribosomal RNA is filed under the name uncultured bacterium. RNAcentral describes it as "partial 16S ribosomal RNA". It matches the Rfam family "Bacterial small subunit ribosomal RNA", at positions 28 to 507 of the family's 1533-position model. The record is from RNAcentral.